UGGGGAAUAUUGCACAAUGGGCGCAAGCCUGAUGCAGCCAUGCCGCGUGUGUGAAGAAGGCCUUCGGGUUGUAAAGCACUUUCAGCGAGGAGGAAGGGUAGUGUGUUAAUAGCACAUUGCAUUGACGUUACUCGCAGAAGAAGCACCGGCUAACUCCGUGCCAGCAGCCGCGGUAAUACGGAGGGUGCAAGCGUUAAUCGGAAUUACUGGGCGUAAAGCGCACGCAGGCGGUUU
This 234-nucleotide ribosomal RNA is filed under the name uncultured bacterium. RNAcentral's name for it is "partial 16S ribosomal RNA". It matches the Rfam family "Bacterial small subunit ribosomal RNA", at positions 355 to 581 of the family's 1533-position model. The record is from RNAcentral.